This 11983-nucleotide long non-coding RNA is filed under the name Capsicum annuum. Its description in RNAcentral is "long non-coding RNA (CANN_LNC016576)". Lineage: Eukaryota; Viridiplantae; Streptophyta; Magnoliopsida; Solanales; Solanaceae. The record is from RNAcentral.
UGAUGCCUCGAGCCUUCAUCACGAACUCCUUCAUAUACAAGAUACUUCGGGGCAUUACCCAGAUAAAUCAAUACAAAUCCUUCGAGGCAUUCCCCGGCCAAACGAAUACAUUUUUAGUGCGAGUAAAUCAAACUAUUCAACGAAAUUUCAAACAUUCCACGGGAUUUCCAACAUUCAACCAAACAAACCUUAGUCCUAAAAUUGCCUACCCGAACCUACAUUGGCCUGCCCAUUUAAACGUAUCAUAAUAAUAUCACGUUUCAUAUCAACAAUCAAUCAAACGGGUUAAACUAAAACUAAACAACGUUCAACUUUAUCAAUUUUUAAUUCCCACAUCUAUUUCAUGUUUAAUACAAUCUCAAACUCAUAUUGUCAUCACAUUUAUCAUCGAGAGCAAUUAUUCAAAAGCAAACAACAUCAAACGUCACCCAAAUCACCCAAACAAAUAGAAUAAAGAUAUCGAAUCACAUCCACAAUCACCAAAAUUAAAAUAAAGGGAGAGAUGAAAAUUAGACCUCAAUUGACGAUUUUAUUUCGAUCAAAUUGGAUUAGCUGAUUCGAGCGCCGCCAGACCUCAAACCGAACCCAAACUCGAUUCCGAACUCGGUUUAAUCACCAAACUAGUCCAAGAAUCUCGAAAUAAAGACAACCCGCAACUGAUUCUGCCUAAACCGAAUUCGAAUCGAAACUUCACUAGACUAGCUUCGUUUUUUGUAGACGCUGUGACUAUAUUGCUGACUUCCAAAGGUUUUGGACUAUUUUUGGUCAAGUGUAGGUGACGGUGAGUUUUCUCGGUGAGGUUCGAACAAAAUUAAUGGAGGAGAAGGCGAUAUUUCGAUUGGGUUUGGCCGAAGAUGGUCGUUUCUUGUGAUUUACCGACGAGUUCGGUAGUGGGGUAGGUCAUUUUCGGCAAGAGAUGGCAGAUUCUGGUGACCAGUUCACCGAAAAACUCAUACCAGUCGGCAGGGAUGCCUCCGUUCUAUGUUUUCGCUCUUCUCACUCGAUUCCUCUCUCUCUUUCGCACUGUAUUCCUCUCUUCCCUCUCUCAAUCGAUCUCUCUCUCGUCUCCCUUUCACUUUCAACCUCCUCUCUAUUGGUGUGUAUGGACCAAGAAAAAGAGGAAGGAAGAAAUGACGUCACUCUUUUCUUCUUCGUAGUUUCUCUGUAUGUGUAUUAUCUGAGGCGUGAAUUACCCAUGGAAUGGAAUUGUUCUCUUCGUAGAGUAGGUGUGGUGAGUAUGUUUUUGUAUGUGGAAUUGUGUAGAAGAAGAUGAAUUCCCUCAAGAAAAAUGGUGUGUCUAUGGUAUAUACCAUGGAGAAGAAAGUAAAAAAAAUGGAAUUCUGCUCUCUGAUGUGUGCUCCACUUUUUUUUGGGUCCCACCUGGGAAAUAUAUUCUAUGUUUUUUGUUCCUAUAAAAUCCAAAAGAGAGCUGAAUGGAAUCAACUUUGUACAACUGUCCAUUUUUCUUUUCCUUUGUGGUCAAGAAACGAGGGGGGAGGUCACGUGAGUGAGUGGGGGUGAGGGGGUAGGGUAGGUGAUGGGGUAGUUGUGAGGGUGAUGUAUCCGUUUUUAAUUGAAGAGAUGGUUAGGAUAGGAUUAAAACAAGGUAAAAUUUGUUAGUGAUUUUGUUAAUUUUUGUAUUUUUAUGAAGGGAUUAUUACACGGGGUAGGACACAUAGUAAGACGAGGGUAAAAAUGAAUAAUUUGAGUUUUCGGGAGGGACAAAAUUAGGUGUCUACAUCAUGCCCCCUUUGAAUGUAAACCCGAAGUGUUUUCAGACAAAAAAGUAGACAACGAGAUCAAAUUUUGACCCGACCAUUAUUUCAGGAAAGAAACAAAAGAAAGAAGAGCAACCGGGUCUUGACUUAGGACAUCCUACCUAUCCAAGUUAUAAAGGAAUCAAUUGACACGUAUUUCAAAGGAUUUAAAAGAAAAGGACAAUACCGAGUUGGAGAGUCGAGUGAGGUUCCAUCGAGGUUUCGAUCCACGGCUAUGUCAUUACAUCAAAAUGAAAAUUACGAGUUAAAACGUAAAUGAAAUUACAAAAUCCUAUCUAUACAGUUUUUGUUGGACUCCUGACUUAAGUUUCAUCACCCUAUUCUUCAAUCGGGCUCCUGACUUGCAAUUUCAUCACUUGUUGCCUGGUUUUCAAUUGCUUUACCUUGUUGCUUAACUUUCUAUUUAUUCGCCCUGUGCUUCGGGCGGGCUCCUGACUUACCAUUUCAUCACCCUGUUCUUCAUGCGAGCUCCUGACUUGCAAUUUCCUCACCCUAUUCUUCAGGUGGGCUCCUGACUUGCAAUUUCAUCACCCUGUUCUUUAGGCGGACUCCUGACUUGUAAUUUCCUCAACUUGUUGUUUGGCUUUCAAUUGUUUCACCUUAUUACUUAACUUUCAAUUUCUUUACCCUAUUCUUUAAGCGGGCUCCUGACUUGCUGUUUUUCAAUCUGUUAACUUUCAACUUUUCACUUUGUUGCUUGACUUUCAACUUCUUCACUUUGUUGCUUGAGUUUUCAUUUCUUUACCCUGUUCUCCAGGCGGGCUCCUGAAAUCACAUUAAAACAAAAAAGAAAAUUAUCCCGAACAAAGAUUAUUAUAAAGAGGUUUCAUUUGUCAGAAAAGUGAAGUUCUAACACAAAAAUUAAAUUUUUCCCCAAUUUAUCAUCAAAGGACUUUUGUGAAAGUCACAUCAUUAUAGGAAUCAAGAAUAAUGACUCGACUAAAAGGUAAGCCUUAUAGGAAUCAAGAGGGAUGACUCGACUAAAAGGUACGUCUUAUAGGAAUCAAGGGGGAUGACUCGACUAAAAGGUACGUCUUAUAGGAAUUCAGGGAAAUGACUCGACUAAAAGGUAUGCCUUAUAGGAAUCAAGAGGGCUGACUCGACUAAAAGGUACGUCUUCUAGGGGUCAAGGGGAAUUAUUCGACUAAAAGGUACGUCUUAUAGGAAUCAAGGGGGAUGACUCGACUAAAAGGUACGUCUUAUAGGAAUCAAAGAGAAAUGACUCGAUUAAAAGGUACUGUAACACCCACUUAAUUACGUCCAUUAGCCAUUGUUAUAUGCGUUGGAGUAUAUGUAUUGAUCCUAAGUUAGGUAUAUAUGAGUUUAAGUAUGAGUAUUGAUUAUUUUGAGAUGGUUUCAAGUGUAUAGUUUGAUUAUAUGUGUAUAGGAAUCGACUUUAUUUAUAUCGGAAUUUUCCCGUCGAUGGUUCCAUACGAAGGUUAUUGAAUAAGCUUUCCAACGAUAUAAAGAUUUCCAAAAACGGAUAAGUUUCGGAUAUAAGCGAGCUCGUUCGAAACUUUAAAACGGUGGCCGGGAUGUGAACAGUAAAAUGUGCAGGAAACUACUGAGGCCUGCCAGUUUUUUGGGUCAACUUUGAACGAUCAUAACUCCCUCAAUAUAAUGAACUGGUUGAGCUACCAUAUAUCAAAAGAAAGAUCUUUGAGUCUUCUUUCCAAUGAAAUUGGUUUCAUCCAAAUCCAACAUCAAAGAAAUAUCUUUGAGUCUUCUUUCCAAUGCAAUUGGUUUCAUCCAAAUCCAACAUCUAACUAAGGAGUUAUACUUGUUUUACUUCAGCCUCUCAAAACAGUUUUUUAGGAUCAACUUCAAACGAUAAUAACUCCUUGUACAGGAAUAAAUGGGUGGUCUACUUUAUAUGAAAUGAAAUCCCUUUGAAUUAUCUUUCCAACGAUACAAAUUACACCCAAAUCCGAUAUCGGAGCAAAGAGUUAUGGCCGAUUUACUUUAGCCUAUCAAAACAGUCCACCAUGGACAGAUUCGGAUUUACUUAAAUUUUUAAGGGCAAUAUGGUCAUUUUCCAUCACCUCAUGGACGAAAAUUGGUCAUUAUAUACAUAUACUUAGCCUUAUAUCCACCAUUUAUCAUCCAAAUCAUUGAAGAAUAAGAAACCCUAGCCUAAGUUCAACUCCAAUUAUCUUGUGAUUCAACCGUAGAAAAUCCAAAUUGAUUCCGUAGUUGUGUUCACCGUCUCAAGGGCUUCGAGAAGCACCCCUUAUUUGUGCCAACAGGACUUCGAAAUCAAAAGGGCCAUUUUUUUUGGUAAGGAUGUAAAUUAUGUUGGUGUUAUUUAUAUGGAUAUGUAUAUAUAUAUAUAUAUGCAUGUGAGCAUAAGAAGUAUGUUAUUUGAUUGUUGUUGAAAGAUGAUUGGAAAUGAUGUUGGAUUAUUCUUGUGCAUGGUUGGAUUAUGUUAAAUUGUGAAGGAAUUUGGGGUGAUGAUGUGGUAUUGAUGAUGUGGUAUUGAGAUGAUGAUUAUAUACAUAUACACACAUAAACCUAUUGUUCAAGUUGGUUUUUGGAAUGUUUUGCAAAUAUUGGUAGUAUGGAAUUAUGGAAGAGAAUUGUGGUGUUGGGUUGCUAAUACUAGAUGCCAAACAUUUCAUUGUAGAUAAGUGAUUUGUAAAGGCGGGAAGUUGUGUUGAAUUGGUAUCUGAAUCUACAACGAGGUAUGUAAAGCAUACUCUAACAAUGUUCUUUGGCAUGAAAACACCAAUGUUCCAUCAAGUAAGAUUCCGAGGUUGUCCAAAAACAUGUAUUGUUCUACGUUACCAACGAAGUUGUUUCCAUCCUAUAAAGUGUCAAAAUGUUCAUUGAUAUACCAAAAGGCUCUUAUUUCAUUGUUGUGAUAUUGAUGAUUCUGAAACAUAUUGUUGAUGUACCAAUGAGUCCUUAUUACAUCGUUAUUGUAUAGAAGGUCUAUUACUUGGUUCCUAUUGAUGUAUCAUUGUUUCAAGGUAUCAAAAAUGUGGUGACGACCGAAAUAACAAUCUCAAAGAUUAAUUGAACUAAGUGAUGAAAGUUCUCUCUUAUCGGGUGGUAUCCCAGGGGCAUAAGCCUAGCAUGGGUCGAUCCCUAUUUCAUGUGUUUAUGGGUGGUAUCCCAGGGGCAUAAGCCUAGCAUGGGUCGAUCCCAGUUGAUAUGUACUGGAGGCAUCCUAAUGGUCACAGUACAGUACAGUAAUGAUUACAAAGACGAUAAGAACGAAGGUAAAGUGAUUGAAUAAAUACAAUGUACAGGUUGUUACAAGUUCUAGUAAGUGUGGUCCACUCCUGUUACGACUUCUUCACUUGUUUCUGAUUUCUAUUGAGCUCCUAUAUCAUAUGUGAUUAUUUACAGCUUUACAUACUCAGUACAUAUUUCGUACUGACGUCCCUCACGGGGGACCUGCAUUUCAUGCUGCAGGCACAGGUACCUCAACUCAUACACCGCACAAGUAGGAGCCAGGUCAUACAGCUAUUGUUGGUGAGCUCCAGUUUGCUUCGGAGCUUUCCGAGUCGGUUCCUUAUGUUUUGUUAUUGUACAUGAGUCACGUGUGGGCGGGGGUUUGUCCCGACCCUAGUUAUGUCAUGUAUAUCCUAGAGGCUUUGUAGACAUAAGGAAGGGUAAAGUCAUGGAAGUUUAUAUAGUAACGUUAUAUUUGUAUAUGUGGUGGCCCCGACGGCCAAGUAUUAUAUAUAUUUAUAUUUGUGCAUGUUGUGUUGAUACAGGUAAUUAGACCCUUCUAUAUGCAACGAAGUGCUGUCCAAAUUUUUGGUGACAUAUAAGUGAAAGUACAGGUAUUUGAACGGGUUCUCCCGGGCUUUCUCGGCUUCGGGUGCCAGUCCGGCCCGAUAGGAUUUUGGGGCGUGACAGGUACGUAUGAUAGGAAUCAAAGGGAGAUGACUCGAUUAAAAGGUACAUCUUAUAGAAAUUCAGGGAAAUAACUUGACUAAAAGAUAUGCCUUAUAGGAAUCAAGGGGGAUGACUCGACUAAAAGGUACGCCUUAUAGGAAUCUAGGGGGUAACUUGACUAAAAGAUACGUCUUAUAGGAAUCAAGGGGGAUGACUCGACUAAAAGGUACGCCUUAUAGGAAUCAAGGGGGAUGACUCGACUAAAAGUUACGUCUUAUAGGAAUCAAGGAGGAUGACUCGACUAAAAAGUACGUCUUCCAAGAUUUAAAGGGAAUGACUCAACUAAAAGGUACGUCUUCUAGGAGUGAAGGUUCAAUUUAAGAAGUGUAUCACCUAGCAAAUGAAAACUAAAAUCCCUGGACAGGAAAGUGUGUCUCCUAGGGAUAUAGAAUGAUGAAUUUUUACUGUGAUUUAAUUAUCAAACCUGUGUAGCAACAUUGCUUUCUGCAUUUGUAAAAGCGAGAAAUUAGGGGCCUUGAUGUUUAGUCUUUGAAAUCCUUGAUUUGAAGGUCACAUGUGUUUCUGUUUCAUGCAAAGAAAAGUUGUGAGUUUAAAAACAUGGAGGCAGGUUUGUGGCUUUGGCUUUCAUGGCAAACGCUCUUGCCGUCAUCACAUUUAACCUUGCUUCCAACCAUUACAUAUAUCAUUGACUUGAUACAUCAUUGGCCCAAACUCAGAUUAUUAAGAGUGACUUUGAAACAAAUACAGUAUCUUUGCUUUGCCAUACUCCUCAAAUAAACCCUUUGAACUUUGGUAUUUUCAUGAGGUCCCAGACUUAUCUGUUGACAGAACUUUCUGUAUGCCUUAUUUCAGCUCACAAUCAUAUCUCUUUCAUGUGUUAGCCUUUUGUAUCAUUUUUUGCAAUUGAAGAAGCUGGUAGCCAGUUUUGAAAUCUUUUCUAACUUGUUUUGACACGGACUUGACUCAAAUAAAAGAAACAAAAAAAAGAAUGACAAUUUUUGUUUGGAUAACUGACUCAAGAAAUAUAAAAUAAAAAUAAAGAGAAGAAAGAAAAGACAAUGAAUGUCCCCUUUUGAAACAAAGAAAUGAAAAAUUCAUCUAAAAAUGACAGUCAACUCUAAUGAUUAUGUCAUGCAUUUUGGAUUAAGCUGUCUGAUCUUUCUAUCCAAACUUCUACCAAUUGUGGUUGAGUUAAUGGCCUUGAAGCUGAGUUGCUUCCUUAGAUCAAUUGCAUUUAAGAUCCCAUUCAGCUAGUGGUGCCUUAAAGGGUUUUCGCCAACAAGCUUCUCUCAUUUUCUUUUCCUCAGCUCACCAUUGCCUUAUGGUGUCUGUAAGGGUUUUCCACUAAUGAGACUCUCUUAUCUUCAUUUUCCUUAACUCACAGUCAUCUUAUGGUGCCCGUGAGAAUUUUCACUGAUAAGACUCUCUUAUUUUUAUCUCUCUCAACUUACCAUUGUCUUACGGUGUUUGUGAGGGUUUUCACCAAUAAAACUCUCAUUUUUAUUUCUCUCCUGAUUUCUUAUGUUGAGGAAGACAAGUAGUUCUUAAAUGCAUCAUCAUAUCUCUUGCAUGCUUAGCCUUAACAUCCUCAAAAAUUGAUCUAAAGGUCUUUCUUUGGUUGUAAAUUGGUUUUUGCAUAGGGUUAGAAAGAAAUGAUGACAUAGGGCCCAAAUGACACUUGAAGUGGGGUAGGACUUACAACUUUUGGAAUCAACUCAAACAAUGAGGAUUAACUCAUGCCCCAGUUUCUUUUGACUGGGUGACUCUAAAUUGUUUAUUUGGUUGGACCGAGUCCGGAGUAGGGCAUCCUACGUAUCUCACCCUGAGAGAGGAGAAUCAGGUUAUGCGUAGUUCUGACAGCUUGUUCUUUUGUUUGAUUCUGAUUUUUUUUUCUUUUGUUGACUCUUUUUCUCUUUGGGACUUUUCUNNNNNNNNNNNNNNNNNNNNNNNNNNNNNNNNNNNNNNNNNNNNNNNNNNNNNNNNNNNUGGUUUGCUUUACACCUUUUCUUUUAAGCUUUGUUGACUCUUUAUUGAUUUCAAAAGAGGUGUAUGAAAGAAAAUAAAACCAAGGCUCAAAUGGGAUAAACAAAGGAUGACACAAUGUUUGGAUAACAGAAUGAAAUGCCUUCGUCAUAUCAAUCUUUGAAAAUGCAAGUACAUAACAUGCAAUUUGAAAGUUGGAGAUGAAGAUCAUGUGCGACAUCUUUUACAAUAUUAACUUUGAUUGAGUCUGUGCGUCACUACUUCUUCUACAUUUUUCUAGCAUACAACUCCACUUUUGUUGUACAUUUCUUACGUUGAAUGACUCAUGAUUUCAUAGAGCUGAUUUUCUUUUUGUUCCUCUUGAUAUAGGAUCACACAUCCACUGUUUGACCUAAUUGAGGCAUGCCUUACAAUUGAUGACCAAGUUAUUCUGGUGAUUCUUAAAACAGUUGCCUUAAUUUUGAAAGAAGGUUUCAACAUGGUCACCAAAUGUCUUAACACGCUACCUAUUUCUCACAUGUUUUUUNNNNNNNNNNNNNNNNNNNNNNNNAAUUGGAUUUUAAGAUCUAGCGAAGAAUUCCGCCAGCAUGUCAUAUCACUAAAGCCAACAUAAAAUGUACUAUGUAAAGAAAACAAACAAAUAACAUAUAUUUAAACACAAAGAAAAAAGGGACACUCUAUUUAGUUGAAAGAAAAGAUAGAAAAGGCUUGACCAUUAACGACAAAAGGGACAAAAACAAAAUAGAUCCUGAACUACAACCCUGAAAUAAUUCGGAUAACAAAAAAUAAAACAAAACAAACUACCAGACCCCUUCCUAGGAGGGAGGGGUGAUUUCUAAAUUGCUCAGCCUGACAUCUUAGCCAUUGGUUUGCAUAUCAGCAUGACUAGAGCUUUCCUCACUGUCAAUGUUCUGCACCAUAAUUAAUUUAUCUUGAAUCAUCUUUUCAAUUUCUCUUUUCAAAGCAUGACAAUCUUCAAUAUUGUGACCCUGAACAUCAUAAUGAUAUGCACAUCGUACAUUAGGAUCAAAACUUCUUAAAUAUGGGUUAGGAGUAUACCCAAGGAGAAGAGUGAUCAUGCCAUGCUGUACCAAUCUCUGGAAUAAACUGGCAUAGAAUUCCCCAAUAGGAGUGAAAUUAUCUUUUUUCUUCCUCCUCUUUGCGAACUCUGGCCUCAGAUGAAACUUGAAUUUAGAAGUUCCUUGGUAAAUUUGUGGGCGUCGUAGAUGAUGUUGAUGACAGGUGCAUGCCAUUGUGGAUAAGAAGAUGGAUGAACAUACAAUUGUGCAUUGUUCAAAGGAUAUUAAGGAAGAUGAAUGGGAUUUCUUGGAUUUUGGCCGGGAAAGAAACCUUGUUGCAAGUGGUUAUGUGGAUCUAAUAUGUAAGCUCGGGAUUGAGGCUGACAGUAUUGGUGGGUUGUACCUCUCAAUCUCUGCUUUGGCCCUAGCAUGACAAUAGGCGUGUUUUCUUUCUUCUUUCCUUCAGUUUCCCUCGGUUGAUUGCAACGUCGUCCCAAAUAUUUCACAGAAUCCUUCUGUCUAUCAGGCUCCCCAAAUUUUGAUGUCUCAAAGCUGGGAGGAAGGGUAAAACUUGAAGAAAUACCCUAGUUUUUAAAUGAAACAUCUUCAUAGCCCAUAAGUCUAGGAGAAUUUUUUAUAUCAUUUUUCACACUCUUAACUUUCCCAACUACUUUCUCUAGCUCUUCUAGCAUGCUAGGUUUCUUAGUAAGAAAUUUUAGUGGUCCACUUAAUUUAACGGUAGGCUCAAGAGUAUAAGAAUGAUCAUCAAGAGUAUUGAACGUGGAUUCACUAGUGGACUGGGGAAGCACAAUUGUUGGAUUGAUAGCCAAAGUAGAAGUCUUAGUAAAAGGUUGAGCAACAAAAGCAUAGACAGUAUGUGGUGCUGUGAAUGUGAUAGACUUAUACUGAGGAGCUAAAGAAAGAGUGAUGGAAGUAUUGAGGUGCAUUUGACGCGGAAUGGAUUCUGAGGCAUGUUGUGGUGCAUCAACAACAGUAGGAAGCUGAUUUUGUGAUUGUGAUGGAAGACUCAAGGUAUUUGUAGGGUCAAAAAUGGGGAACGGAGGUGGAGGCAGUCCACUGGCCCAAGCUCAGUACAUUUUCAUCAUUAGUUGUUUCAGUCUCAAAUUUUCUUCCUUUAAACUCUCAAUUUCCUGACUCUUUGUUUCAUCCAUGGUGUCACUCUCUAUAUCCUUGUUGGACACAACUAAACCUUCCUUGAAUUUGGCGUGAUAUGGAGGACCAGCCAGGAAGCCACAAACCAACCACCUUAAAUUAACUGAAGAAGAGGCAACAAAUAUGUUAGAGUUCAACAUUUUUUCAAAACCUUUUUUUUAAAAAAGAUCACCAAACCCAAGAAGGGCGCCUACGUAUCUCACUCCCGAUAGAGGAGAAUCAGGUGUGCGUAAUUCAUGAAGUCGUGCUAAAAUGGCCAAUUGAACUCUUUAUUUUCUUUCUUUUUUUUCGUUUUCUCGAAACUUUAAGAAGAAAAGAAAAUAACAAUUUGUCAAAAGAAUUGACGAAAAUAUUUUUUGAAUUUUUCAGCUUUAACAUCCCUAUACAAAGUGAAAUCUAUGAUUAUCAAAGAAAAUCUUUUUGCGUUUUCAGUUUUAAAUUUCAUAUGAAAAUGAAACUUGAACCUAUUAAAGAAAAAUCUUUUUGUAGUUUUCUUUUAGAGAUGUAUAUGAAACACCUACUCUAAGUGAAGAGUGAAGAAAAUCUUUUUGAUUUUAUUUAAAUACGAUCCCCGAACCAACAAUAGGCUGCCUACGUAUCUCACAUCCCGAAAGAGGAGAAUCAGGGGUGCGUAGUUUGUCCAGAUUAAACAUUUAAGGAUUAAAUAACCGACUGAACCCUGACUUGAGACACUACUACAACGAUGAAAUAACUAUGAAAGAAAAAUCUUUUUGGUAUUUUCGUUAUAAGAAACGUACAAAACUUUUACCAUCUUUUUGACAUUUUCUUUUAUAAAAAUCUCCUGUUGUUAAAAAAAAAAAUCUUUUUGAAGUUUUUAAGUUAUGAAUGCUUACUAAAAACACAAAAGGAAAAUAUUUUUGAUGUUUUUGUUUUUGACAAAUGAGUACAAAAGGUAAACAAAAUCUUUUUUUGAAUUUUUGUAAUUUUGAAAAAAUAAAUGCAAAAGGUAAUUUUUAUUUUUUUUUGAAUCUUUUGGGUUGUGAAGAACAAAAAUCAUAAAGAACUCUAAAAAUAAACUACGAAAAUCUUUUUUUGAUUCACCUUUUUUUCUUUUCUUUUUUUCCAAAUUUUCAUUGCCUACACAUUUUACUUCUAACACCUGUUUUCCCCAAAUCAGUCCGUCAAAUGACCUCAUUACCCUUCAAAAAUGCAACAAUUAGCACGUAGGGAUGCUUUAUGGGUGAAUCUUCUACGAAAGAUCAAGUGGGUCUCGCUAGGUCUCAAUAUGAUGCAGAUAAGCAUGGCCUAAAGGUUGACCUACGCUGGAGUUCACUAACAAGGCUAUUCGGGGGAGCGUAUGAUCGAUAGUGGCUGCUUUAGCUUUCCACCCACUCCAUACCAGCCAACGGCUCCCCCUCCUAAGAUAAGGGUGACUCAACUAGAGGUCGUGUACACAGCGUGUACUACAGACUUGUUACAAAAAGAAUGACUCAGGUUAUGCACAUGAUGCCAAAUAUAAAGCGGUAGCACAUAAAGAAAAACUGUAAACAAAGAGCACGUAGGCACUAAAAAAAAACAAUAACACAAACGAUAACACAAACAACGUCUAUACACCUACAAUGCUAAACUAAGCCGUUAUAACUCCAAAAAAUAAGCUCAAAUUCUGAAAAUGUCCCCAGCAGAGUCGCCAAAGCUGUCACACCCCUUUUACAACCGAAAAGAUUCGUUUUAAGUUUCGAAAGGAUUUUAUUAUUAAUGUGACAAAAAGUAAAAAUUUAUUUCGAAAAGGAUUAUUUAUAUUCAAAAUUCAGAGUCGCCACUUGACAUAAAUCGGGUAUGCCAAGUCACCUUUGAAAAUUCUUUUCAAAACGGUUUGACUCUAAAACUGAUCCGCGAACAGAGAUUCCAGUUAAGAAAUUCUGUUGACCGAGGAAAACGAAUACAUUUUUAGUGCGAAUAAAUCAAACUAUUCAACGAAAUUUCAAACAUUCCACGGGAUUUCCAACAUUCAACCAAACAAACUUUAGUCCUAAAUUUGCCUACCCGAACCUACAUUGGCCUGCUCAUUUAGACGUAUCAUAAUAAUAUCACGUUUCAUAUCAACAAUCAAUCAAACGGGUUAAACUAAAUCUAAACAACGUUCAACUUUAUCAAUUUUUAAUUCCCACCUCUAUUUCAUGUUUAAUACAAUCUCAAACUCAU